GGAUUAGAAACCCUGGUAGUCCAUGCCGUAAACGAUGAACACUAGGUGUUGGGGGAGUCGAAUCCCUCGGUGCCGCAGCCAACGCGUUAAGUGUUCCGCCUGGGGAGUACGGCCGCAAGGCUAAAACUCAAAAGAAUUGACGGGGGCCCGCACAAGCAGCGGAGCAUGUUCUUUAAUUCGAUGCAACGCUAAGAACCUUACCUGGGCCUGACAUGGCACUGCAAGCGCACGGAAACGUGUGACCUUCGAGGGUGUGCCACAGGUGCUGCAUGGCUGUCGUCAGCUCGUGUCGUG
Molecule: ribosomal RNA, 294 nt
Filed under: uncultured bacterium
Lineage: Bacteria
Description: partial 16S ribosomal RNA
Rfam family: Bacterial small subunit ribosomal RNA
Source: RNAcentral